CCUGGUCAGAAAACACUGGUAUUGUGUUUCAAUGGGUGGGGUAGCUGAUAUAUAGUAGGGAGAAAAGCGAUCUCACAAACAAGAAACUAUGGGAUUUGUAGACUGAGAGAACGAACUCCAACAGGUAGCAAGUAGCCAGUUCACAAAAAGAUAGCCACAGCAUUAUGGUAAUCUCACAACCUGGGGUGUAGCUAUAGAGGUGGCAGUCGCAUCGGGCCCUGGUACCUAAGGGGGCCCCAAAGCACAUCUUCCCCAUAAAAGACCAGUAUUAUAAUUGGCAAAUGGGGCCCUAUUUCAUAUUUUGUAUCGGGGUCCAGAAGCUGCAAGCUACACCUCUGCUCACAACAUAGCCAAUUAGCCUCAAGACAAGCAAAGAUCCUUCCUAAGCAUGUCCAAUACUGUCUGGCAGGAGACUGAUGUCCAGCGAGAAGGUGAACGUGACAUAUACGCCCGUCAGCUGCAAGAAAGGAACCACGAGAUAGGUGACUGAUGUCCAGCGAGAAGGUGAACGUGACAUAUACGCCCGUCAGCUGCAAGAAAGGAACCACGAGACAGGUAAUUAAU
This is a long non-coding RNA of Hyla sarda, 564 nucleotides long. RefSeq lists it as uncharacterized. The record is from RefSeq and is a predicted model, not a curated record. The transcript is spliced from 3 exons. Lineage: Eukaryota; Metazoa; Chordata; Amphibia; Anura; Hylidae.